This 236-nucleotide ribosomal RNA is filed under the name uncultured Actinomycetales bacterium. RNAcentral's name for it is "partial 16S ribosomal RNA". It matches the Rfam family "Bacterial small subunit ribosomal RNA", at positions 97 to 334 of the family's 1533-position model. Lineage: Bacteria; Bacillati; Actinomycetota; Actinomycetes; Actinomycetales. The record is from RNAcentral.
GGCGAACGGGUGAGUAACACGUGAGUAACCUGCCCUUGACUUUGGGAUAACUUCAGGAAACUGGGGCUGAUACCGGAUAGGAGCUCCUGCUGCAUGGUGGGGGUUGGAAAGUUUCGGCGGUUGGGGAUGGACUCGCGGCUUAUCAGCUUGUUGGUGGGGUAGUGGCUUACCAAGGCUUUGACGGGUAGCCGGCCUGAGAGGGUGACCGGCCACAUUGGGACUGAGAUACGGCCCAG